Molecule: ribosomal RNA, 422 nt
Filed under: uncultured bacterium
Lineage: Bacteria
Description: bacterial SSU rRNA
Rfam family: Bacterial small subunit ribosomal RNA
Source: RNAcentral
UGAGGAAUAUUGGGCAAUGCCCGCAAGGGUGACCCAGCAACGCCGCGUGGAGGAUGAAUGUCGUAAGAUUGUAAACUCCUGUUAGAGGGGAAGAAUAGUACCGGUUGGACCGGUAUAUGACUGUACCCUCAGAGAAAGCCCCGGCUAACUACGUGCCAGCAGCCGCGGUCAUACGUAGGGGGCAAGCGUUGUCCGGCUUUACUGGGUGUAAAGGGCGCGCAGGCGGGAUAAAAAGUCAGUGGUGAAAUCCUACAGCUUAACUGUAGAACUGCCUGUGAUACUUUUAUUCUUGAGUUCGGGAGAGAGAGACGGAAUUCCAGGUGUAGUGGUGAAAUACGUAGAUAUCUGGAAGAACACCAGUUGCGAAGGCGGUCUCUUGGUCCGACACUGACGCUGAGGCGCGAAAGCGUGGGGAGCAAACA